GCUGGGCGUGGUAGCGUGCACCUGUAGUCCCAGCUACUUGGGGGGCUGAGGCAGGAGGAUCGCAUGAGCCUAGGAGAUCAAGGCUGGAGUGAGCUGUGUUCAUGCCACUGCACUCCAGCCUGGGCGACAAAGUGAGACCCUGUCUCAA
This 148-nucleotide small RNA is filed under the name Pongo abelii (Sumatran orangutan). Its description in RNAcentral is "Metazoan signal recognition particle RNA (ENSPPYG00000040213.1)". Lineage: Eukaryota; Metazoa; Chordata; Mammalia; Primates; Hominidae. The record is from Rfam by way of RNAcentral.